This 237-nucleotide long non-coding RNA is filed under the name Capsicum annuum. RNAcentral describes it as "long non-coding RNA (CANN_LNC016537)". Lineage: Eukaryota; Viridiplantae; Streptophyta; Magnoliopsida; Solanales; Solanaceae. The record is from RNAcentral.
GCUCACCCCAAAGGCCCACACUAGGCUGCGCCCCAGACUGGCUGGGGUGUCCUGGUCGAUUUUUCGCCCAAAGUGCAUCUGUACCCCGUUCCUACCCCAGAAUCGUGGGCUAUAGCAUACCAAUUUGACUAAAAAAUGGUCCGUUCGGGCCAUUGCGCUCGUUUGACCACCCAAAUAGCCCCGCCUACCCCAGAGGCCCACAAUAGGCCGCUCCCCAGCCUUCUUCGGCGCCCUGGU